AGAGAUGCCACUGCUGAUAUCAAGAUUUUAAAUUUUGAUCGUAGUCGAGAAAUGUAUAGGGUUAGGUUUCGCAACAAGAUUUAAGAUUUCUAGGAAAGUUGAGUUAUGAUAGCGUAGAAAAGUUGAGUUAUGAUAGCGUAGAAAAGUUGAGUUAUGAUAGCGUAGAAAAGUUGAGUUAUGAUAGCGAUAGCGUAGAAUGAUAGCGUAGAAGGUAUAAAAAGAAUGUUAAAUCAAAGGAUAUAAAUUUUUUUUAUAAAAGUUUAUUUUCCAUUCGAGUUAAUUGGGAAACACAAUUUCAUUUAGUGGUGAUUUGAACGAAAUCAUUUGUUUGGGGACGUAAAAAUAAUAAGGAUUUAGAG
Molecule: long non-coding RNA, 359 nt
Filed under: Linum usitatissimum (flax)
Lineage: Eukaryota; Viridiplantae; Streptophyta; Magnoliopsida; Malpighiales; Linaceae
Description: long non-coding RNA (LUSI_LNC005633)
Source: RNAcentral